UUUUUUAGAUGCUAGCUAUAUUUUUUACGAAUAGUUACUUUUUUCCAAAACAGGUAAUCUGUUUCUAAACAGAAUCACUCAUAUUACAAACAUUAAUAAUAAAGAAGUUCGUGCUGUCUUUUUGAUAAUCUGAAUUGUUAAAAAAUUGUUUUAAAAUGCAACCUAAGGCGUCCAUAAAUCAAGAUUGAAACAACACAUAGAUAGAAUGUUUAAACGUGCUGACGAUAGCAUGGAAAACAUUUUGAUCAGCUUGUUGAUUUUGUCUAUUCUUUUGUGUACAGCAAAUAGUUUAAAAUGCAACGAGAUGACUCAAGCUCAUAAUCAGACAACACAGGUGUUUUGCUUCAUCUCUGUCAAUGACAGUAACAGCACUUGGUCAUUCGAUCACCACACACCAAGAGGUCUUUGGUUGUACUCACAGCUCUUCGUGUGACAAAUGGUGUCAACUUCUUGAAGAGAACAUACCAGUCUACUAAAUGUUGUGAAACUGACAUGUGCAACAAAGAUGUUCCCACCAGCAGUAAAGUAACGUAUGAAAUAUUCGCCACCGUCUUGGUCACACUUGCCUCGGUUUUGUUUAAAAAUAUUUACUAAACUGACAUUUCUUUGUAUUUAGAAGGUUUUUGAUUGCGAUUAUCUGUUCUUUUUAUGUUAACACUUAGCGCAAGAUAUAUAUUUGAUUCA
This is a long non-coding RNA of Hydractinia symbiolongicarpus, 684 nucleotides long. RefSeq lists it as uncharacterized. NCBI's taxonomy places the organism in Eukaryota, Metazoa, Cnidaria, Hydrozoa, Anthoathecata, Hydractiniidae. The transcript has 3 exons. The record is from RefSeq and is a predicted model, not a curated record.